CUCCAGUUGAUCGCAUGGUCUUCUGGGAAAGCUUUCGCGGUAUGGGAUGGGGUCGCGUCCUAUCAGCUUGACGGCGGGGUAACGGCCCACCGUGGCUUCGACGGGUAGCCGGCCUGAGAGGGCGACCGGCCACAUUGGGACUGAGAUACGGCCCAGACUCCUACGGGAGGCAGCAGUGGGGAAUAUUGCACAAUGGGCGCGAGCCUGAUGCAGCGACGCCGCGUGAGGGAUGGAGGCCUUCGGGUUGUAAACCUCUUUUAUCGGGGAGCAAGCGAGAGUGAGUUUACCCGUUGAAUAAGCACCGGCUAACUACGUGCCAGCAGCCGCGGUAAUACGUAGGGUGCAAGCGUUAUCCGGAAUUAUUGGGCGUAAAGGGCUCGUAGGCGGUUCGUCGCGUCCGGUGUGAAAGUCCAUCGCUUAACGGUGGAUCCGCGCCGGGUACGGGCGGG
Molecule: ribosomal RNA, 449 nt
Filed under: uncultured Bifidobacterium sp.
Lineage: Bacteria; Bacillati; Actinomycetota; Actinomycetes; Bifidobacteriales; Bifidobacteriaceae
Description: bacterial SSU rRNA
Rfam family: Bacterial small subunit ribosomal RNA
Source: RNAcentral